This 447-nucleotide small RNA is filed under the name Pongo abelii (Sumatran orangutan). RNAcentral describes it as "processed transcript". The record is from RNAcentral. Lineage: Eukaryota; Metazoa; Chordata; Mammalia; Primates; Hominidae.
GGCGCUGGGCUCCAUGGUGGGCCUCAUGACCUACGGGCGGCGCCAAUUCCAGCCCCUGGACGCGACGAUGCGGCGCCUGAUCCCGCCCUUCCGCGAGGCUUCGGCCAAGCUAACCACGCUGGUGGAUGCCGACGCCGAGGCCUUCGCCGCCUACCUGAAGCUUGGUUCCUAGAGAACUGGUCCCUGCCUGGGACAUGCUCCUUGCUACGGCCCCUUGUGGGAGCUCAGACGGCAUGGCUGCUCCCCCUACAGUCCCUCGCCCAGUGGUUCUGUCUUUUUCUGGCAGGAAGCAAUGAGGCUGCCCAAGAACACACCUGAGGAAAAGGACAGGCGCACAGCGGCCCUACAGGAGGGGCUGAGGCGGGCAGUCUCUGUGCCGCUGACGCUAGCGGAGACGGUGGCCUCGCUAUGGCCAGCGCUGCAGGAACUGGCCCGGUGUGGGAACCU